UACGUAGGGUGCAAGCGUUGUCCGGAAUUAUUGGGCGUAAAGAGCUCGUAGGCGGUCUGUUGCGUCGGCUGUGAAAACCCGAGGCUCAACCUCGGGCCUGCAGCCGAUACGGGCAGACUAGAGUUCGGCAGGGGAGACUGGAAUUCCUGGUGUAGCGGUGAAAUGCGCAGAUAUCAGGAGGAACACCAAUUGCGAAGGCAGCUCGCUGGGACGUUACUGACGCUGAGACGCGAAAGCGUGGGGAGCAAACAGG
This 253-nucleotide ribosomal RNA is filed under the name uncultured bacterium. RNAcentral's name for it is "partial 16S ribosomal RNA". It matches the Rfam family "Bacterial small subunit ribosomal RNA", at positions 524 to 776 of the family's 1533-position model. The record is from RNAcentral.